Molecule: ribosomal RNA, 468 nt
Filed under: uncultured bacterium
Lineage: Bacteria
Description: partial 16S ribosomal RNA
Rfam family: Bacterial small subunit ribosomal RNA
Source: RNAcentral
GACGAACGCUGGCGGCGUGCUUAACACAUGCAAGUCGAACGGAAAGGCCCUGCUUUUGUGGGGUGCUCGAGUGGCGAACGUGUGAGUAACACGUGAGUAACCUGCCCUUUACUUUGGGAUAACUUCAGGAAACUGGGGCUAAUACCGGAUAGGAGCUCCUGCUGCAUGGAGGGGGUUGGACAGUUUCGGCGGCUGGGGAUGGACUCGCGGCUUAUCAGCUUGUUGGUGGGGGAGUGGCUUACCAAGGCUUUGACCGGUAGCCGGCCUGAGAGGCGGACCGGCGACAUGGCGACUGAGGUACGGACCAGACGCGAACUGGGGGCAGCAGGGGGGAGUAUUGCACAAUGGGCGGAAGCGUGAGGCAGCAACGCCGCGUGCGGGAUGACGUCUUUCGGGUGGAAAACAGCUUUCGCCUGUGACGAAGCGUGAGUGACGGUAACUGGUAAAGAAGCACCGGCUAACUACGUG